UUUAAUCCAACAAUCCAUUUCAUAAUCAAUUGACAACCAUAAUGUUAAACCAUUUACAUUUAUAAAUCACUUAAAUCCACUUGAUAAAAUCCAUUUACCAUAUCCAAUAACAUCCAAUACAAGAAAAUGAAACAAAAUGGAAAAAAGGGCAGUGGUAAUUGAAAAAAGUUGCAGCCAAAACCUGAUAUAGCCCGUUCAUAAGCUAACGAAGCACAAACUGCCACUCACACCAUUAAGCCAAACUCCAAACGCUGCAAGAAACGAUAAGCCACCUGCAAAAGAAAGAAAAACGCAUUUGCUAAAGAAGCUAAACGGCGCCAAACCAAAACUGAUAAGUGCUUCCAAAAACUGCAGCAUCAAUAACAACAACACUAGCCAUCCCAGCUACAAACCAAGCGUCGGUAAACGCAGCUAACAUCAAACUGCACAACAACAAAGUUGCAGUGAAAAAAAGCAGAAACGGCGACGGAAACAACGCAACACAACUACAAUAAAACUCAAAGCUACCGCCAAACACCGACAAAACAAUGUAGCAAACCAAAAACAAAGCUGAAAUGCAGAAAACAAAUGCUUGCCAAACCUACCCAAACACCGACAAUGUAAAUCAACCACCACCAAAAAGCUGCUACGGCUCAAAGCUACCAAACCUGCAUUAACAAAGUUCUGCAUAUCAAAACCAUUUAUUUAACCUGCAUAAAAAUCCUGCAAAAAAAAGAACGAUAACAAAAUCGCCAAACGAAAUCCAUAACAGAAAAAACUAACUUCUAACCUCACUCUCAUCACUCUAUAAAUACAAACCUUCACUCUUCAUCUAAACGGUUUUUUUUCAUCUUCAUUCACUCUCUCAACAUCACCUUCAUCAUCUUCUUCAAUCAGUUUCUUUCCCUAACCGCAUCAUUCUUCCACCACCGUCAACACCGCUUCAACCACCGUGAACUCAAUCCUAAUAACAGAGUAACGAAUCACAAUCACGUCUGCAGAACGCUCAACAAAUCCACAGAAAUUGCAAUAAUAGGACAAAAAUACAUAUAGAAGAAGGAGAGGAGAGCAUAUUGAAGAAAAAGCACGAAGGGAGAAAAAGAAGCCCACGUUCUUCAUCGACUCGGUGCGAUCUUGGUCGAAGGUAGGUGCUAUUUGGAUUCGAAUUCGGUGUUGCUCUCGUAGUGUUUCCCAGGCAUUCCUCCUCCAUAGGAGGAUAGGAUUUUGGAUCGAUUGGUUUAUAUUUCGUAGGAUAUUUCGAUUCGAUUUGGUAGGAAUUAAAAGGGAUUAGUGUUAUAUUUAGGAGUUGAUAAUUUGAGUUGGUGAAGGAGAGGUAAGCGUAAACAUGCUAGAUGGUUCCCAGGGAUUAACAUGGAUGUGAGGGGUACUAAUACCUUCCCCUUGCAUAACCGACUUCCGAACUUGUUCGUGGUUGCGAUGACCAUUCUUUGGGGUUUUCUCGAUAUUUUCCCAUUCCUUUGGAAUAAAUAAAAAUCGAUGGUGACUCUGUAUUUUUUUCGUAGCGACAGCUGACGACUUUGCUGGGGAUACCUUCCUAAGCAAGUCAAGCCUAAUCUAGGUUGAUUCCUCGCGUGUAUGGGUGCUUAUCCUUUUGAUAUUGCUUGCCUUAUUUGUCGCCUUGUGCUUUAAAUUUUGUAAUCUAUUAUGUGGUUCCACGAUUCGAUGGUAGUGAUGGAUGGUACUUCGAUUGCAAGAAGCCUUGUGGGAAAGACUCUCUACCCGAGUCUAUAGUGCAAACUUGAGAUAGGAGAGGUUGAGUAGUAUGGGCCACUGAGGAGAUUUUCUCGUAAGGGUUGAUACGAGAACCUCGCUUAGAGUAGAUUCUUUUGGAGAUUUUGACGGCCGUCAAGCUUUUGACGUAAGCGAUCAAUGUUUUCAUUAGGAUCCAUGACUCUAAAGACCUUUAUAGAACAUUAAACCUUGACCAAUUAAGAUUGAUGGUCACGUAGUACGGGUCCCCGAGAAGCUUUUCUCGUGAGGGUUGGUACGAAGAUCUCACUCAAAGUAGAUUUUCUUGAUGGAGUUGUCGAUCGGAAAACUUUUGCUGUAAGCGGCAAACAGUCAAGGAGGUUCGUGACUUUGAGACCUUUGUCUAGAACCCGAUGUCGAUGGUCGCGUAGUAUGGGUCCCCGAGAAGCCUUUCUCGUGUGGAUCGGUACGAAGAUCUCACCCAGAAGAGGCUCAUUUGAGGGAGUUAACGACCGACAAGCUUUUUUUGUAAGCUGCUAAACCCGUUCAUAAGCUAACGAAGCACAAGCUACCACUCACACCAUUAAGCCAAACUCCAAACGCUGCAAGAAACGAUGAGCCACCUGCAAAAGAAAGAAAAACUUGUCUGCUAAAGAAGCUAAACGACGCCGAGCCAAAACUGAUAAGUGCUUCCAAAAACUACAGCAUUAAUAAUAACAACACUAGCCAUCGCAGCUACAAACCAAGUGCCGGUAAACGCAACUAACACCAAACUUCACAACAAUAAUUUUGCAGUGAAAAAAGCAGAAAUGACGACGGAAACAACGCAACACAGCUAUAAUAAAACUCAAAGCUACCGCCAAACACCGACAAAAUAAUGUAGUAAACCAAAAACACAGCUGAAAUGUAGAAAACCAACGCUAGCCAAGCCUACCCAAACGCCGACAAUGUAGAUAAACCACCACCAAAAAGCUGCUACGGCUCAAAGCUACCAAACCUGCAUUAACAAAGUUCUGCAUAAUCAAAACCAUUUUUUAACCUGCAGAAAAAAGAACGAUAACAAAAUUGCCAAACGAAAUCCAUAACAGAAAAAAAUAACUUUUAACCUCACUCUCAUCACUCUAUAAAUACAAACCUUUACUCUUCAUCCAAAGGGAUUUUUUUCGUCUUCAUUCGCUCUCUCAACAUCACCUUCAUCAUCUUCUUCAAUCAGUUUCUUUCCCUAACCG
This 2918-nucleotide long non-coding RNA is filed under the name Lathyrus oleraceus (garden pea). RNAcentral describes it as "Pisum sativum (pea) long non-coding RNA (PSAT_LNC010954)". Lineage: Eukaryota; Viridiplantae; Streptophyta; Magnoliopsida; Fabales; Fabaceae. The record is from RNAcentral.